This 485-nucleotide ribosomal RNA is filed under the name uncultured bacterium. Its description in RNAcentral is "partial 16S ribosomal RNA". It matches the Rfam family "Bacterial small subunit ribosomal RNA", at positions 27 to 507 of the family's 1533-position model. The record is from RNAcentral.
GAUUGAACGCUGGCGGCAGGCCUAACACAUGCAAGUCGAGCGGAUGACGGGAGCUUGCUCCUGGAUUCAGCGGCGGACGGGUGAGUAAUGCCUAGGAAUCUGCCUGGUAGUGGGGGAUAACGUCCGGAAACGGGCGCUAAUACCGCAUACGUCCUGAAGGAGAAAGUGGGGGAUCUUCGGACCUCACGCUAUCAGAUGAGCCUAGGUCGGAUUAGCUAGUUGGUGGGGUAAAGGCCUACCAAGGCGACGAUCCGUAACUGGUCUGAGAGGAUGAUCAGUCACACUGGAACUGAGACACGGUCCAGACUCCUACGGGAGGCAGCAGUGGGGAAUAUUGGACAAUGGGCGAAAGCCUGAUCCAGCCAUGCCGCGUGUGUGAAGAAGGUCUUCGGAUUGUAAAGCACUUUAAGUUGGGAGGAAGGGCAGUAAGUUAAUACCUUGCUGUUUUGACGUUACCAACAGAAUAAGCACCGGCUAACUUCGUG